This 876-nucleotide long non-coding RNA is filed under the name Bos indicus x Bos taurus (hybrid cattle). RNAcentral's name for it is "lncRNA (ENSBIXG00000014992.1)". The record is from RNAcentral. Lineage: Eukaryota; Metazoa; Chordata; Mammalia; Artiodactyla; Bovidae.
GCGAGAGCAAUUUGCACACCCAACAGCAGCAUAGCCUGACCUCAAACUUCUUUUCUUUGUAGGAAGCCCUGUAGCAGUCCCGGAGUGAUGGGACUCCCUGCCUGGCCUGAGAUACCCAGUUAGCACCUGCGAAUCAGAAUUUCCUCUUCGCAGCAAUAAAGCAUCCAGCCUUUGCAUCUGUGACAGCCUCCCCUGUAAUUUAUGCAUUCUAUGAUCUCCUCAACAUUCACAAUUUGUAUGCCCUGGUGUGGCUUAGAAGUAAAAAGUCUACCUGCAGUGCAAGAGACCCAGGUUUAACCCCUGUGUUGGGAAAAUCCGCUGGAGAAGGGAAUGGCAACCCACUCCAGUAUUCUUGCCUGGAGAAUCCCAUGGACAGAGGAGCCUGGCAAGCUACAGCCCACGGGGUCACAAGGAGUCGGACAUGACUGAGUGAGUUUACUUCACUUCACAGAGAGAAAAAAGUAAGAGAAAGAUGUUUUUUUAAAAUAUUGUUGUAAAAGAUACAACUUAUAAGUUAUAAAUUCUAGAAUUUUAUGAAUGGUGAACUCAUAGAUGAAAAAGAGUGUUAGGCAUUUUGGCUGCAGGAAACAGUUACCUUAGUAAUGGAAGUUUCUAGAAAGGGCAUAUGAGAAAAUAGAGAAGAGAGUAUUCUCACAGGAAUCGAAGAACAUCCAUUACCCGAGAUCCCACAUAGUCCUGAGCACUAGUGUUAUAUCUGUUGUCUCUGUAGGAGCAAGAAUUUAUAGAUCUAUGCUCUGAUACCAUUAAUAAGGCUCUAUUAUUCUGUGUUUAUACUUCUCAUUGUGUCCUUUAUAAUUUCUCUUCCCACUAUUUGGAGAUCCAAAGUGAUGAAGACCAUAGAUUCUACAAUUAAAA